This 794-nucleotide ribosomal RNA is filed under the name uncultured Actinomycetes bacterium. RNAcentral's name for it is "bacterial SSU rRNA". It matches the Rfam family "Bacterial small subunit ribosomal RNA", at positions 73 to 874 of the family's 1533-position model. The record is from RNAcentral. Lineage: Bacteria; Bacillati; Actinomycetota; Actinomycetes.
ACUGUGCUUGCACGGUGUGGAUGAGUGGCGAACGGGUGAGUAACACGUGAGUAACCUGCCCCUGACUUCGGGAUAAGCUUGGGAAACUGGGUCUAAUACCGGAUGUGGCUACUGGCCGCAUGGUCUGGUGGUGGAAAGGGUUUUACUGGUUGGGGAUGGACUCGCGGCCUAUCAGUUUGUUGGUGGGGUAGUGGCCUACCAAGACGACGACGGGUAGCCGGCCUGAGAGGGCGACCGGCCACACUGGGACUGAGACACGGCCCAGACUCCUACGGGAGGCAGCAGUGGGGAAUAUUGCACAAUGGGGGGAACCCUGAUGCAGCGACGCCGCGUGCGGGAUGACGGCCUUCGGGUUGUAAACCGCUUUCAGUAGGGAAGAAGCGAAAGUGACGGUACCUGCAGAAGAAGUACCGGCUAACUACGUGCCAGCAGCCGCGGUAAUACGUAGGGUACAAGCGUUGUCCGGAAUUAUUGGGCGUAAAGAGCUCGUAGGUGGUUGGUCGCGUCUGCUGUGGAAACGCAACGCUUAACGUUGCGCGUGCAGUGGGUACGGGCUGACUAGAGUGCAGUAGGGGAGUCUGGAAUUCCUGGUGUAGCGGUGAAAUGCGCAGAUAUCAGGAGGAACACCGGUGGCGAAGGCGGGACUCUGGGCUGUAACUGACGCUGAGGAGCGAAAGCAUGGGGAGCGAACAGGAUUAGAUACCCUGGUAGUCCAUGCCGUAAACGUUGGGAACUAGGUGUGGGGUCCAUUCCACGGAUUCCGUGCCGGAGCUAACGCAUUAAGUUCCCCGCCU